UGAUCGGCCACACUGGGACUGAGACACGGCCCAGACUCCUACGGGAGGCAGCAGUAGGGAAUCUUCCGCAAUGGACGAAAGUCUGACGGAGCAACGCCGCGUGAGUGAUGAAGGUUUUCGGAUCGUAAAGCUCUGUUGUUAGGGAAGAACAAGUACCGUUCGAAUAGGGCGGUACCUUGACGGUACCUAACCAGAAAGCCACGGCUAACUACGUGCCAGCAGCCGCGGUAAUACGUAGGUGGCAAGCGUUGUCCGGAAUUAUUGGGCGUAAAGGGCUCGCAGGCGGUUUCUUAAGUCUGAUGUGAAAGCCCCCGGCUCAACCGGGGAGGGUCAUUGGAAACUGGGGAACUUGAGUGCAGAAGAGGAGAGUGGAAUUCCACGUGUAGCGGUGAAAUGCGUAGAGAUGUGGAGGAACACCAGUGGCGAAGGCGACUCUCUGGUCUGUAACUGACGCUGAGGAGCGAAAGCGUGGGGAGCGAACAGGAUUAGAUACCCUGGUAGUCCACGCCGUAAACGAUGAGUGCUAAGUGUUAGGGGGUUUCCGCCCCUUAGUGCUGCAGCUAACGCAUUAAGCACUCCGCCUGGGGAGUAC
RNAcentral lists this ribosomal RNA (592 nucleotides) under Bacillus subtilis. Its description in RNAcentral is "bacterial SSU rRNA". It matches the Rfam family "Bacterial small subunit ribosomal RNA", at positions 301 to 883 of the family's 1533-position model. Lineage: Bacteria; Bacillati; Bacillota; Bacilli; Caryophanales; Bacillaceae. The record is from RNAcentral.